Molecule: ribosomal RNA, 270 nt
Filed under: uncultured bacterium
Lineage: Bacteria
Description: partial 16S ribosomal RNA
Rfam family: Bacterial small subunit ribosomal RNA
Source: RNAcentral
AUACGUGCCAGCAGCCGCGGUAAUACGUAUGGUGCAAGCGUUAUCCGGAUUUACUGGGUGUAAAGGGAGCGUAGACGGAGAAGCAAGUCUGGAGUGAAAGCCCGGGGCUCAACCCCGGGACUGCUUUGGAAACUGUUACUCUUGAGUGCCGGAGAGGUAAGCGGAAUUCCUAGUGUAGCGGUGAAAUGCGUAGAUAUUAGGAGGAACACCAGUGGCGAAGGCGGCUUACUGGACGGUAACUGACGUUGAGGCUCGAAAGCGUGGGGAGCA